Molecule: ribosomal RNA, 447 nt
Filed under: Hyalopeplus lineifer
Lineage: Eukaryota; Metazoa; Arthropoda; Insecta; Hemiptera; Miridae
Description: partial large subunit ribosomal RNA
Source: RNAcentral
AUAUUAAAUGGCUGCAGUAUUUUGACUGUACAAAGGUAGCAUAAUCAUUUGUCUUUUAAUUAAAGGCUGGUAUGAAUGGUUGGAUGAGAAAUAUUCUUUCUUUAUUUUAUAAAAAAAAUUUAAUUUUUUAGUUAAAAAGCUAAAAUUUAUUUAUAGGACGAGAAGACCCUAUAGAACUUUACUUUUUCAAUUUAUAUAGAAUUUAUUUUUUUUAAAAUUUUAUAUAAAUUAUAAAGUUUUGUUGGGGUGACAGAAAAAAUUUUUUAACUUUUUCUAUUUUUAACAUUUAUUUAUGUUUUUUUGAUCCUUUAUUAAGGAAAAAAGAUUAAGUUACCUUAGGGAUAACAGCGUUAUUUUUUCGGAAAGUUCUUAUUGAUGAAAGAGUUUGCGACCUCGAUGUUGGAUUAAAAUAAGUUACAGGGGUAUAAUAUUGUAUACUAGGUCUGU